This is a long non-coding RNA of Oncorhynchus tshawytscha (Chinook salmon), 559 nucleotides long. Lineage: Eukaryota; Metazoa; Chordata; Actinopteri; Salmoniformes; Salmonidae. The record is from Ensembl.
GCCGCGUACUGUGUGGAGCUUCGUGUGCGCUUUAUCGACAAUAAAGUUACAUUUGACGCCUUCAUUAUUUCACCAACGAAGGUACCUGAUGGAAAAUAGCCGAUUGAAUAGAGACCUGAGGCCAUGUUUCAGAUGAUUCUACUGAGAUGGGCUUUUCCUCUAGGUGAUUCUGAUCUAGACGGGUCCUGUGGAAGUGAAGAAAGUGGUAGAGGAGGAGAAGCAGGAGACUUAUCAUUCUGACUCUAUUCUGGAUCUAUGGACUGUAGACAAACCCCAUUUGUCUUACGUCAGACAGUGCGACUCAUUCCACAUUUGUUUGAACUAACGUCGUACAGGAGGAGUUUUGCGUAGGAGUGACGCCACCUGUUGGACUCAGAAAAGAAGACAAUGGCCGUGUGUGUGUGUCAGUGGUGUCCGGCUGGCUCUGCUGUCGUCUAGGCUCUGAUGGCAGAUGUUCCCUCUGGACUACUGGAGGCUUGUGUGGUGGUUGGAGCAGUCAGCAGUACACUCAGGGAACUCUAUCAGUCACACCAGCAGGGUCAAAUCAAAGAGCUCCCCC